CCGAUGGCGUGGUUGAUUCAGGUGGAAGGGUGACCGACACCAGCCCUGCCGGAUUUCAGAGCUGACGAGGUGAAUUCUUGGUGAGGAUAGAGCGGAUUUCAGAGCUGCCUUUUUGUUGGAUGAGGCUGGGCUGCCCUGUUCAGUCCAGCCCGGGGGAACGACGACGGCGAGCUCUGGGGCGAUGCAGCCGGACUCUGAGAUAUGGAAUAGUAAUCAGCGGCUAUUUCUUGCCGAUUUGUGGUACCAGAAGGUGUUAUAGAUCUUUUGAUUCCCGAAGCUCUACCCCUCCAGCCCCAAAAUGUCUCCCUGGUUUCCUUAGUAGCCGAUGGCCGGCGACACGUGCGGCGGCGAUGAUGCACCCCUCUUCGCCCGAUUUCAAAAUUUUGCUGGGGUUGGGGAUAGAUUGAACCCUAAUUAAGAUGAUAAGAACACAAGGUCAACCAAGAUUUGCACAAAAUUGAUGAGAAAUACAUAUUAGCUAAGAAAAUUGGGGGUUUUCCCCUCCGUCAGUUAUCGACGAUAUGCAGGGUGUUGCUCAAAGAUUGGCCCAAGUAAAGACCCUUUCCCCAUCAGAGACUUAGCUAGGGUUUAGGAAAUC
Molecule: long non-coding RNA, 598 nt
Filed under: Salvia miltiorrhiza (redroot sage)
Lineage: Eukaryota; Viridiplantae; Streptophyta; Magnoliopsida; Lamiales; Lamiaceae
Description: long non-coding RNA (SMIL_LNC010250)
Source: RNAcentral